This 104-nucleotide small nuclear RNA is filed under the name Ochotona princeps (American pika). Lineage: Eukaryota; Metazoa; Chordata; Mammalia; Lagomorpha; Ochotonidae. The record is from RNAcentral.
AGGCUCCCUUCGGAAUCACAUAAAUUAAAACUGGAACAAUGCAGAGAAGAAAGCAUGGCCCCUGUGCAAAGAUGACACAGAUUCAUGAAGCACUCCAUCAUUUU